UACGUAGGGGGCAAGCGUUGUCCGGAAUCAUUGGGCGUAAAGAGCGUGUAGGCGGCUCGGUAAGUCCGCUGUGAAAGUCCAGGGCUCAACCCUGGAAUGCCGGUGGAAACUGUCGAGCUAGAGUCCGGAAGAGGCGAGUGGAAUUCCUGGUGUAGCGGUGAAAUGCGUAGAUAUCGGGAGGAACACCUGUGGCGAAAGCGGCGCACUGGACCAUAACUGACGCUGAGGCGCGAAAGCUAGGGGAGCAAACAGG
Molecule: ribosomal RNA, 253 nt
Filed under: uncultured bacterium
Lineage: Bacteria
Description: partial 16S ribosomal RNA
Rfam family: Bacterial small subunit ribosomal RNA
Source: RNAcentral